Long non-coding RNA from Bactrocera dorsalis (oriental fruit fly), 298 nucleotides. RefSeq lists it as uncharacterized. The transcript is spliced from 3 exons. The record is from RefSeq and is a predicted model, not a curated record. Lineage: Eukaryota; Metazoa; Arthropoda; Insecta; Diptera; Tephritidae.
AGGUAGAGCUGGAAAACAAUCGAUGGCACUAUCGAUACCAUCGAUGUUUUUUAAAUUUUCUAAACAUCGAUGGCUCAUAGACCACUAUCGAUUGUUUUUAAUUGUAUCUGUGCAUUGGAGCAACGUUAAACUUGGACUAACUUGAAGGCGAACGGUGGUGUUGGCUUUAAGCGUGGUGAUAAAAAAUGGACAAAUUUGUGAAAAUAACAUCAAUAUCAACUGGCGAUAAAGAAAAUGUAGUUGAGGAUGACAUACAGCAGCACACAAAUAAACGCAAAAGGGAACGUCGAUGGUUUGG